Molecule: ribosomal RNA, 253 nt
Filed under: uncultured bacterium
Lineage: Bacteria
Description: partial 16S ribosomal RNA
Rfam family: Bacterial small subunit ribosomal RNA
Source: RNAcentral
GACGAACCGUGCGAACGUUAUUCGGAAUAACUGGGCUUAAAGGGCGCGUAGGCGGGCUGACAAGUCUGGGGUGAAAUCCCGCGGCUCAACCGUGGAACUGCCUUAGAUACUGUCGGCCUCGAGGAAGGUAGGGGCAUGCGGAACUGUAGGUGGAGCGGUGAAAUGCGUUGAUAUCUACAGGAACUCCGGUGGCGAAAGCGGCGUGCUGGACCUUUUCUGACGCUGAGGCGCGAAAGCUAGGGGAGCAAACGGG